Long non-coding RNA from Toxotes jaculatrix (banded archerfish), 504 nucleotides. RefSeq lists it as uncharacterized. NCBI's taxonomy places the organism in Eukaryota, Metazoa, Chordata, Actinopteri, Toxotidae. The transcript has 3 exons. The record is from RefSeq and is a predicted model, not a curated record.
CCUCCCAGGUGGCUGUGGCCGGCGUGGCAGAGCGUUUUGUUUGGCGUGGCUGUGACUUCUUUCAGUCGGACGCAAUAGUUGUUGUUUGUGGCAGCCGUCGAGGCACCUGUUUCCACAUAUCCAGCGCACCUGGUUGCUGGCGCUGUGGGAGACUGAUUGUGCCGCUGGAUUUCUUCCGGUUGCAUUCGCGUAUCCGUUUGGUGCCGAGGGCCUGAGGCAGCAGUUGAUCCCUGGUGGUGGUGUUCUUCAUGAUUCCUUUUUGUUGGUGUGCGGUGUCACAGGUGGCUAGUUUUAUGGACCUUUCCCUUUUUGAUUUUCCCUGCUGCUGUGGUAAGCCCUCGCCCUGUUUGCACUCCUAGGCCCAAGUGCUAGUUUUAUGGCGGCUAACCCCUUAGUGCCUGAUCUGUAGUUUUCUUUUUGGUAUUUCAAUUUUGUUAAUUAUUUGUGCUAAAUAAAGUUAGUGUUUCUUUUAAACCCUCCUACACUGUCUCUUGCCAGAUUGUU